ACCUGGUUGAUCCUGCCAGAAAUAUAUGCUUGUAUAAAGAUUAAGCCAUGCAAAUGUAAGAAUGAAGUACUCGUCUUACUUAAUCUGUGAAGCAUUUAUUAUAAAAGUUAUAAUUUAUUUGAAUGUGGGAACUUAAAACAGUUCCAAAUUUAUGUGGAUAACUGUGGGAAAGCUAGAGAUAAUACAUGCAAAAAGAGGAAACCUUAGCAAUAGGGAAUCCUUGUAUUAACUGGCCAUUUUAAGGAGUGCAAUCUUUUUGAUGAAACACAGUUUACUAAUAACAGAGCCUAGCAAUAGGCCGCUUCAUUCAAAUCUCUUAUCUAUCAACUAUUAUCCGUUGCCUAGAGAGGAUCGCGGAGGUUUUGACGGGUGACAGCGAAUAUGGGUUUUAUUCUGGAGAGGGAGCCUUAGAAAUAGCUACCACUUCCAAGGAAGGCAGCAGGCGCGAAAAUUACCCAAUAAAAAUACUUUGAGGUAGUGACAAUAAAUAACGACUACGUAAAAACCAGGGUAGAAAUACUCUUAUUUGUCGAUUGUAAUGAGUACAAUUUAAAUAAAUUAAUUAGAAUCAACUGGAGGGCAAGUCUGGUGCCAGCAGCCGCGGUAAUUCCAGCUCCAGUAGCGUAUAUUUAAGUUGUUG
RNAcentral lists this ribosomal RNA (640 nucleotides) under Cochliopodium minus. RNAcentral describes it as "SSU rRNA". It matches the Rfam family "Eukaryotic small subunit ribosomal RNA", at positions 1 to 615 of the family's 1831-position model. The record is from RNAcentral. Lineage: Eukaryota; Discosea; Himatismenida; Cochliopodiidae.